Notechis scutatus (mainland tiger snake) is the source of this 210-nucleotide non-coding RNA. The record is from RefSeq and is a predicted model, not a curated record. Lineage: Eukaryota; Metazoa; Chordata; Lepidosauria; Squamata; Elapidae.
UUAUAAGAUUGAGAUUCCGGAAGUUCUACUCUGGGCAAAGGAACAGAACGAGGAGAAAAGCCCCAACUUGACACAGUUCACCGAGCACUUUAAUAAUAUGUCUUACUGGGUCCGUUCGAUCAUCAUGCAGCAGGAAAAGUCACAGGACCGAGAGCGGCUGUUGCAGAAAUUUAUCAAAAUCAUGAAGGUAAAAAGACCCAGUUGGGAAAC